RNAcentral lists this ribosomal RNA (467 nucleotides) under uncultured bacterium. RNAcentral describes it as "partial 16S ribosomal RNA". It matches the Rfam family "Bacterial small subunit ribosomal RNA", at positions 29 to 507 of the family's 1533-position model. The record is from RNAcentral.
ACGCACGCUGGCGGCGUGCUUAACACAUGCAAGUCGAACGGAGAGGCCCUGCUUUUGUGGGGUGCUCGAGUGGCGAACGGGUGAGUAACACGUGAGUAACCUGCCCUUGACUUUGGGAUAACUUCAGGAAACUGGGGCUAAUACCGGAUAGGAGCUCCUGCUGCAUGGUGGGGGUUGGAAAGUUUCGGCGGUUGGGGAUGGACUCGCGGCUUAUCAGCUUGUUGGUGGGGUAGUGGCUUACCAAGGCUUUGACGGGUAGCCGGCCUGAGAGGGUGACCGGCCACAUUGGGACUGAGAUACGGCCCAGACUCCUACGGGAGGCAGCAGUGGGGAAUAUUGCACAAUGGGCGGAAGCCUGAUGCAGCAACGCCGCGUGCGGGAUGACGGCCUUCGGGUUGUAAACCGCUUUCGCCUGUGACGAAGCGUGAGUGACGGUAAUGGGUAAAGAAGCACCGGCUAACUACGUG